GGGCUGCAGUGCUGCCGAGAUUCGUGCGUAUGUGCAGAGCCCUGGCGCGGGUCGCCGCUCCGGACCCUCCCGUGGAGCACGGCUGCGUCCCCGUGCUAGCCUACCCCGCGGGGCGCAGAACAGAGGCACCCUGUUUUUCCGGGACGCGUCUGUGGCUUGCGGGAGGCGGCGGCAUGGACAGAUUCCUUGUGAGACCGGACCGAGGCGACAUCCAAGGGGCCGCGGAGGAGCCCGCCCCUACGGGAGAAGCCUCAGGCGACAUGCAGAGCCCCGGCUGGCAACACUUUCGCGCGGAAGGUCUGAACUGCGAUUAACCAAGUCUGCAGGGUGACAGGACAGACCUUCAACUUUGUGCUCGUGAACAGGUACAAAGACGGCUGUGACCACAUUGGGGAGCACAGAGACGAUGAACGAGAACUGGCCCCGGGGAGCCCCAUCGCGUCCGUCUCCUUCGGUGCCUGCAGAGACAUCCUCUUCCGGCACAAAGACUCUCGGGGGAAGAGGCCCCGGAGGGCAGUGGAGGUGGUCAGGCUGCAGCUGGCCCAUGGAAGCCUGCUGAUGAUGAACCACCCCACCAACACCCACUGGUACCACAGUCUCCCCAUCCGCAAGAGGGUCCUGGCUCCUCGGAUCAACUUGACUUUUAGGAAAAUUUUACCUACUAAGAAAUAAAACAUGUCUUUAUUAUUUU
RNAcentral lists this long non-coding RNA (691 nucleotides) under Rattus norvegicus (Norway rat). RNAcentral's name for it is "long non-coding RNA NONRATT007625". Lineage: Eukaryota; Metazoa; Chordata; Mammalia; Rodentia; Muridae. The record is from RNAcentral.